ACUGCUCAGUAACACGUGAUCAACUUACCCUAUAGAGAAAAAUAACCUCGGGAAACUGAGGAUAAUGUUUCAUAAUUGAAUUGGCUUGGAAAAGUUUUUCAAUGAAAAGGAUAAAACAAAUGGUUUUUAUCUGCUAUAGGAUAGGAUCGUGUUCGAUUAUGGUUGUUGGUGAGAUAAUGGCUCACCAAGCCGAUAAUCGAUAGGGGCCGUGAGAGCGGGAGCCCCGAGAUGGGUACUGAGACAACGACCCAGGCCUUACGAGGCGCAGCAGGCGCGGAACCUCCGCAAUACACGAAAGUGUGACGGGGUUACCCAAAGUGUUCAAUAGAACUGUGGUAGGUGAGUAAUGUCCCCUACUAGAAAGGAGAGGGCAAGGCUGGUGCCAGCCGCCGCGGUAAAACCAGCUCUUCAAGUGGUCGGGAUAAUUAUUGGGCUUAAAGUGUCCGUAGCCGGUUUAGUAAGUUCCUGGUAAAAUCGGGUAGCUUAACUAUCUGCAUGCUAGGAAUACUGCUAUACUAGAGGGCGGGAGAGGUCUGAGGUACUACAGGGGUAGGGGUGAAAUCUUAUAAUCCUUGUAGGACCACCAGUGGCGAAGGCGUCAGACUGGAACGCGCCUGACGGUGAGGGACGAAAGCCAGGGGAGCGAACCGGAUUAGAUACCCGGGUAGUCCUGGCCGUAAACGAUGCAUACUAGGUGAUGGUACGGCCAUGAGCCGUAUCAGUGCCGUAGGGAAACCGUUAAGUGUGCCGCCUGGGAAGUACGGUCGCAAGGCUAAAACUUAAAGGAAUUGGCGGGGGAGCACCACAAGGGGUGAAGCCUGCGGUUCAAUUGGACUCAACGCCGG
Molecule: ribosomal RNA, 845 nt
Filed under: uncultured archaeon
Lineage: Archaea
Description: bacterial SSU rRNA
Rfam family: Archaeal small subunit ribosomal RNA
Source: RNAcentral